GAUGAACGCUGGCGGCGUGCUUAACACAUGCAAGUCGAACGGAAAGGCCCGGCUCUUGCUGGGUGCUCGUGUGGCGAGCGGGUGUGUAACACGUGAGGAUCCCCCCCUUGACUUGGUGGUAACUCCAAGGAACUGGGGCUACUACCGGAGAGGAGCUCCUGAAGCGUGGGGGUGGUUGGAAAUUGUCGGCGUUGGGGGAUGGACUGGCGGCUUACCAGCUUGUUGGUGGGGUAGUGGCGUACCACGGGUUUGAAGGGUGGGCGGCCGGGGAGGGUGAACGGCGACAUUGGGACUGAGAUACGGCCCAGACGCCUACGGGAGGCAGUGGUGGGGAAUAUUGCACAAUGGGCGGGAGUCUGAUGCAGAAACGCCGCGUGCGGGAUGCCGGCCUUCGGGUUGUAAACAGCUUUGGCCUGUGACGAAGCGUGAGUGACGGUACUGGGUAAAGAAGCACCGGCUAACUACGUG
Molecule: ribosomal RNA, 468 nt
Filed under: uncultured bacterium
Lineage: Bacteria
Description: partial 16S ribosomal RNA
Rfam family: Bacterial small subunit ribosomal RNA
Source: RNAcentral